RNAcentral lists this ribosomal RNA (736 nucleotides) under uncultured Chitinophagaceae bacterium. Its description in RNAcentral is "bacterial SSU rRNA". It matches the Rfam family "Bacterial small subunit ribosomal RNA", at positions 94 to 828 of the family's 1533-position model. The record is from RNAcentral. Lineage: Bacteria; Pseudomonadati; Bacteroidota; Chitinophagia; Chitinophagales; Chitinophagaceae.
ACCGGCAAACGGGUGCGGAACACGUACACAACCUUCCUAUAAGUGGGGAAUAGCCCAGAGAAAUUUGGAUUAAUACCCCGUAACAUAACGAUGUGGCAUCACAUUGUUAUUAUAGCUUCGGCGCUUAUUGAUGGGUGUGCGGCUGAUUAGAUAGUUGGCGGGGUAACGGCCCACCAAGUCUACGAUCAGUAGCUGAUGUGAGAGCAUGAUCAGCCACACGGGCACUGAGACACGGGCCCGACUCCUACGGGAGGCAGCAGUAAGGAAUAUUGGUCAAUGGACGCGAGUCUGAACCAGCCAUGCCGCGUGAAGGAUUAAGGUCCUCUGGAUUGUAAACUUCUUUUAUCUGGGACGAAAAAAGGCUUUUCUAAGUCACUUGACGGUACCAGAUGAAUAAGCACCGGCUAACUCCGUGCCAGCAGCCGCGGUAAUACGGAGGGUGCAAGCGUUAUCCGGAUUCACUGGGUUUAAAGGGUGCGUAGGCGGGCAGGUAAGUCAGUGGUGAAAUCCUGGAGCUUAACUCCAGAACUGCCAUUGAUACUAUCUGUCUUGAAUAUUGUGGAGGUAAGCGGAAUAUGUCAUGUAGCGGUGAAAUGCUUAGAUAUGACAUAGAACACCUAUUGCGAAGGCAGCUUACUACGCAUAUAUUGACGCUGAGGCACGAAAGCGUGGGGAUCAAACAGGAUUAGAUACCCUGGUAGUCCACGCCCUAAACGAUGGAUACUCGACAUACGCG